Molecule: long non-coding RNA, 1385 nt
Organism: Calidris pugnax (ruff)
Lineage: Eukaryota; Metazoa; Chordata; Aves; Charadriiformes; Scolopacidae
Exons: 9
Source: RefSeq, a predicted model, not a curated record
UGAUGUGAAAGGAGGAUAUUCCAGCAAUACGCCUGUUUCCAUGGAGUAUGUUGAAGAACAAUGGAGGAGAAGACAAAACUUGGAUGAAGCUACCCCCCGGAAAGAUGGAGAUUUGUGGAAGACAGAUGCAACAACGGGGACAUAAGAGACAAACUGAAAGGACAACCCGGAGUCGUCCAGCCCAGACCUUCGGUAUCAGCAGGGACCAUGUCACAGUUUGAAGAGAUUCAGCCGUGUGUAUGUUUGGCAUGAGAAAAGAGCUACACAAGAAGGAGAAACUUUCUCACCCUCUUUAUAAAUUAUUUCUUUGAAGACCAGCACAAAGGAGAGAGGAAACUUGGGGCACAGUGGCUUGGCUGCCUGAUUUACUUCUCUGCAUCUCUAGUAUCCAAGCUGGUAGUCUAGACUCCGGAGAAACGCAACUUCAGAGCCUAAAAGGCCAGUGGUGGGACCUAUUUCAGACCUGCUUUUUGAUGUGAUGCAAGUUGCACCAGAAGCCUCUACUAGCAAUGUGAGAUGCCUGGAUGAGCGGGUUAAGAGGACCCAACUCCUGCUGUUUGUGCACAUGUGCACAGAUAACCUACGGUGGACACGCCAGCCUUGUGGGUAUCUACAGAGUCUCAGCCUGGCUACUUCAACCCAUCCGCUUUCAGACCUUCUGGUCCCAGGAUUUUUGCAGCUGGAUGUGUGUGGUCUUCACCUACCCCAGAGUGAUGGUAAAGGAGACAACGCAGAAGUCAUGAGAGGACUCUGGGAAGGAGAUUUAAGGCUGCUUCCAGAAGAGCCCUUUCUCCUUAGCAUCUGCAGCAUCCUGCUGUCAGGAAAGGCACAAGGAGGAGUCAGGCAUGAAACAUGAGCCAUGGUGACUGAAAACUAGUCUUUCUCACCAACAUGAAGACCUCAACUGUUUGUUCCAUGCAUGAACCAAGGCGACAGCAGCUUUCAGGGUUUUACAGUGCAACUGUGUCACAGCAGCUGGAGGAAGCAUUAAACCAGUUUUUGAGUGGGCGUUCCCUGCUUUGGGCUGGCAGUGAGGAUCUUCAGCAAUGCCUCCCGAUGGUAAUUGCCCAGAUUUUGUUGCACGUGCACCAGCAGAAGUGGGAAGACCUGUGCUUUAGGAAAAAGCUCGCAGUUUUUAUGCUGUAUUGUAAAAGCCUGCAGUGUAGCUCUCCCUGCUACCAAACAGAAAUCUGUAAACAUCAAGAAGCAUUGGCAUCAUUUUCAGCUCUGACUGCUUUGAAGGAUUAAAUUGAGAAUGGCAAGUAUUUUAGUGGGGUCUCAGCUAAUUGUAUAUCUGGAGAUGUAAUGAAGCUCUGAAAUAUUUCUUCCCCCUGGGAGUGAGAGUGCUGGCUAUUACAAUAGCUUACUUCUUUCAUGCUUGACAG